AUGGAAACCGACUGUCUGGAGAUCGUUAAUCUCUGGAACACUCGCAUCAACAGUCAUUCUGUUGUGGCACCAGUAUUCUUCGAAAUUGAGGAGCUUGCUGUUUUUGAUUCUUUUGUAAUAUCUCAUGUAAGCAGAUCAGCUAAUGGUCCAACACAUCUCUGGGCGCAACGGACAUGUAACGCGUCUGUAACCGAGAGUUGGAUCUCUGAAACUCCAAGUUUUCUGGUUAGUAGCCUCAUGGCGACUUUUAUUUGA
This 255-nucleotide ribosomal RNA is filed under the name Triticum aestivum (bread wheat). RNAcentral's name for it is "partial small subunit ribosomal RNA". Lineage: Eukaryota; Viridiplantae; Streptophyta; Magnoliopsida; Poales; Poaceae. The record is from RNAcentral.